UAGGGAAUAUUAGUAAUGGGCGAAAGCCUGAACUGGCAUCGCCGCGUGUGCGAAGAAGGCCUUCGGGUUGUAAAGCACUUUUUGAGAGGAUGAGGAAGGACGGUACUCUCAGAAUAAGUCUCGGCUAACUACGUGCCAGCAGCCGCGGUAACACGUAGGAGGCGAACGUUAUCCGGAUUUACUGGGCGUAAGCGCGUGUAGGUGGUUUGGUAAGUAGGGCGUGAAAGCUCCUGGCUCAACUGGGAGAGGCCGUUCUAAACUGCCGAACUAGAGGAUGGUAGAGGGAGGUGGAAUUCCGGGUGUAGCGGUGGAAUGCGCAGAUAUCCGGAGGAACACCAGUGGCGAAAGCGGCCUCCUGGACCAUUCCUGACACUCAGACGCGAAAGCUAGGGUAGCAAACGG
RNAcentral lists this ribosomal RNA (402 nucleotides) under uncultured bacterium. RNAcentral describes it as "bacterial SSU rRNA". It matches the Rfam family "Bacterial small subunit ribosomal RNA", at positions 355 to 775 of the family's 1533-position model. The record is from RNAcentral.